AUGCUAAGCAGUAAUAUCAAUUCUCGAAGGAUUUUACAAAUCGGCACAAGGCCUCAAACAUGGCAUCAAGCCCAGUAAUAUCAAUGAAGUAUGUGUAUCAAUCACCAGUAUAGUAUAAACAUCACACGGGGUGGACCAAUUCACAAUCCCCAGUAGUAUCCCACCCCGCACUCGCCAUGGAGUGCGUGUCACGCCUCAAUAUAGCGAUACGAUGUGAAAGUCCGGGGUUUCAAACCCUCAGAAAUAGCAUUUACAUCUAUUACUCACCUUUAACUGGUCGUAGACUAGUCCGCAAUGCCCAUUCCUCUUGAAUCGACAUCUUAGCGCGUCAAAUCUAGUCAAAACCACAACGAAUACGUCACAAUAGGCUAAGGGAAUAUAACCCAAUCGAAAAGACUCGAAAAAUGUCGAAAAUCCCGAAAUUAGCAAAACCCGAGCCCCGGGCCCACGUCUCGAAAUUCAGAAAUUUUUACAUCAAUACGACCCUUAUCUCGCCACGAGUCUAUACAUACCAAAUUCACAAAAAUCGGAGUUCAUUUGACCCCUCAAAUCACCAUUUAAUUCUCUUAAGUUUCAAGCCCUAAACCACUAUUUUUGUCCAUAAAUUACUUGAGUUUUCCGCUCUAAUCCAUGUAUUUAACUUGGAAAUAAGUAGAAACAACUCACCUUUGAUGCUUGAUGAAAUCCCUCUUGAAAUUCUCUCCAAAAUAAUCCAAGCCA
This 720-nucleotide long non-coding RNA is filed under the name Nicotiana tabacum (common tobacco). RNAcentral's name for it is "long non-coding RNA (NTAB_LNC010499)". The record is from RNAcentral. Lineage: Eukaryota; Viridiplantae; Streptophyta; Magnoliopsida; Solanales; Solanaceae.